ACUGAAGAACUUAAUUCGAAAUUCCCAUCAUUCCAAGUCAGUCGUUCCUUCAAGAACUGAAUCAAAAAUCAGUAUCAUACGUUCAGUAUCAUAAUCACAGUGAAUAAUCAUGAACAUCACACUACAUGUGCAAACAAGAGUUUUGCCUCUAAUUAUUGUUAAUAAUGGUAGAAAUGAAGAUGCAUAUUUGGUGCGUGUUAUUAUAAACUCUUCGAAUAUCGAAAUUCACUGUGUGUAUUUUGUGCAUGAAAGGAUAUCCUUGCUGUAUGUUAUUAUAUAUAAUUUGGAAAAUGUGCGGGAGAAGGAUUUUGAGACUGGACGAUGUGCAGACGAGGUGUGAUACUGCUAUUUUUACAUCCUCGUCAAAUAUAAUUUGGAAAUUGUAUGGGAGAAGAAUUUUCGGACUGGAUCAUAUCAUUAAUAAAACAUAUAAGAUUAAUUAUAAUAUUUUUACAUCCGUCACUGCAUUUCUUGUUUAUUGUCUUCUUCUUGGAGAAAUUGAAUUUAAGUUCUUCGAAAGAAGAGGAUAAUGAUUGUUAAUUAUAACGUGAUAAUGGAAAAUUGUAAAUUUUCUAAUGUUUUUAAAGAAGCAAUGUAAAAAAAAUAAUUUUAUUUCUUUUUGUAAGAUAAGC
Long non-coding RNA from Apis cerana (Asiatic honeybee), 632 nucleotides. RefSeq lists it as uncharacterized. The record is from RefSeq and is a predicted model, not a curated record. NCBI's taxonomy places the organism in Eukaryota, Metazoa, Arthropoda, Insecta, Hymenoptera, Apidae.